GUGAGUCAUUGUAGCAAUACAAGGCAGACGGCUCAGUAACACGUAGUCAAUCUAACCUAUGGACGGGGAUAACCUCGGGAAACUGAGGAUAAACCCCGAUAGAUCAUAAUGCCUGGAACGGUUUAUGGUCCAAAUGAUUCGUCGCCGUAGGAUGGGACUGCGGCCUAUCAGCUUGUUGGUGAGGUAAUGGCCCACCAAGGCUAUUACAGGUACGGGCUCUGAGAGGAGAAGCCCGGAGAUGGGUACUGAGACACGGACCCAGGCCCUAUGGGGCGCAGCAGGCGAGAAACCUUUGCAAUGUGCGCAAGCACGACAAGGUUAAUCCGAGUGUUUCCUGCUAAAGGAAUCUUUUGUUAGUUCUAAAACCACUGAUGAAUAAGGGGUGGGCAAGUUCUGGUGUCAGCCGCCGCGGUAAAACCAGCACCUCAAGUGGUCAGGAGGAUUAUUGGGCCUAAAGCAUCCGUAGCCUGUUCUGUAAGUUUUCGGUUAAAUCCAUUAGCUCAACUAAUGGGCCGCCGAAAAUACUGCAGAACUAGGGAGUGGGAGAGGUAGACGGUACUCGGUAGGAAGGGGUAAAAUCCUUUGAUCUAUUGAUGACCACCUGUGGCGAAGGCGGUCUACCAGAACACGUUCGACGGUGAGGGAUGAAAGCUGGGGGAGCAAACCGGAUUAGAUACCCGGGUAGUCCCAGCUGUAAACGAUGCGGGCUAGGUGUU
RNAcentral lists this ribosomal RNA (716 nucleotides) under uncultured archaeon. RNAcentral's name for it is "bacterial SSU rRNA". It matches the Rfam family "Archaeal small subunit ribosomal RNA", at positions 53 to 775 of the family's 1478-position model. The record is from RNAcentral.